This 371-nucleotide ribosomal RNA is filed under the name uncultured Pseudomonas sp. Its description in RNAcentral is "bacterial SSU rRNA". It matches the Rfam family "Bacterial small subunit ribosomal RNA", at positions 1011 to 1382 of the family's 1533-position model. The record is from RNAcentral. Lineage: Bacteria; Pseudomonadati; Pseudomonadota; Gammaproteobacteria; Pseudomonadales; Pseudomonadaceae.
UUGGUGCCUUCGGGAACUCUGACACAGGUGCUGCAUGGCUGUCGUCAGCUCGUGUCGUGAGAUGUUGGGUUAAGUCCGUAACGAGCGCAACCCUUGUCCUUAGUUACCAGCACGUUAUGGUGGGCACUCUAAGGAGACUGCCGGUGACAAACCGGAGGAAGGUGGGGAUGACGUCAAGUCAUCAUGACCCUUACGGCCUGGGCUACACACGUGCUACAAUGGUCGGUACAAAGGGUUGCCAAGCCGCGAGGUGGAGCUAAUCCCAUAAAACCGAUCGUAGUCCGGAUCGCAGUCCGCAACUCGACUGCGUGAAGUCGGAAUCGCUAGUAAUCGUGAAUCAGAAUGUCACGGUGAAUACGUUCCCGGGCCUU